This 750-nucleotide non-coding RNA is filed under the name Enterocytozoon bieneusi H348. RNAcentral describes it as "Microsporidia small subunit ribosomal RNA". It matches the Rfam family "Microsporidia small subunit ribosomal RNA", at positions 548 to 1311 of the family's 1311-position model. The record is from Rfam by way of RNAcentral. Lineage: Eukaryota; Fungi; Microsporidia; Enterocytozoonidae.
UAUAGACUGGCGAAGAUGAAAUCUCAAGACCCAGUUUGGACUAACGGAGGCGAAGGCGACACUCUUAGACGUAUCUUAGGAUCAAGGACGAAGGCAGGAGUAUCGAAAGUGAUUAGACACCGCUGUAGUUCCUGCAGUAAACUAUGCCGACAGCCUGUGUGUGAGAAUACGUGGGCGGGAGAAAUCUUAGUGUUCGGGCUCUGGGGAUAGUACGCUCGCAAGGGUGAAACUUAAAGCGAAAUUGACGGAAGGACACUACCAGGAGUGGAUUGUGCUGCUUAAUUUAACUCAACGCGGGAAAACUUACCAGGGUCAAGUCAUUCGUUGAUCGAAUACGUGAGAAUGGCAGGAGUGGUGCAUGGCCGUUGGAAAUUGAUGGGGCGACCUUUAGCUUAAAUGCUUAAACCAGUGAGACCUCCUUGACAGGUGUUCUGUAACACAGGAGGGUGGAGGCUAUAACAGGUCCGUGAUGCCCUUAGAUAUCCUGGGCAGCAAGCGCAAUACAAUAUCUCUUCAGUAGACAAAGUGAUUUGAGAUGAGUAGGAUCUACGUUUGUAAAUACGUAGUGAAUAAGGAAUUCCUAGUAACGGUGCCUCAUCAAGGCAUGGUGAAUGUGUCCCUGUUCUUUGUACACACCGCCCGUCACUAUUUCAGAUGGUCAUAGGGAUGAAGAGCUUCCGCUCUGAAUAUCUAUGGCUAGAUAAAGUACAGUCGUAACAGGUUUCAGUUGAGAACAGCUGAAGAUCAUUU